AGGGGUGUGGCUCAGCGGUAGAGCGUAUGCUUAGCAUGCAUGAGGUCCUGGAUUCAAUCCCCAGUGCCUCUG
RNAcentral lists this transfer RNA (72 nucleotides) under Camelus bactrianus (Bactrian camel). It matches the Rfam family "tRNA". Rfam says of the family: Transfer RNA (tRNA) molecules are approximately 80 nucleotides in length. Their secondary structure includes four short double-helical elements and three loops (D, anti-codon, and T loops). RNAcentral also lists the same sequence under 1 other name. Lineage: Eukaryota; Metazoa; Chordata; Mammalia; Artiodactyla; Camelidae. The record is from Rfam by way of RNAcentral.